CAAUAGCGUAUAUUAAAGUUGUUGCGGUUAAAAAGCUCGUAGUUGGAUUUCUGUUGGGAACGACCGGUCCGCCCAUUGGGUGUGUAUCUGGCUUGUUCUCGGCAUCUUCUUGGUGAACGUUGCUGCACUUGACUGUGUGGAGCGCUACCCAGGACUUUUACUUUGAGGAAAUUAGAGUGUUUCAAGCAGGCAUAUGCCUUGAAUACAUUAGCAUGGAAUAAUAAGAUAGGACCUCGGUUCUAUUUUGUUGGUUUCUAGAGCUGAGGUAAUGAUUAAUAGGGAUAGUUGGGGGCAUUCGUAUUUAACUGUCAGAGGUGAAAUUCUUGGAUCGCGGUAAGAUGAGCUUAGGCGAAAGCAUUUACCAAGGAUGUUUUCAUUAA
This 380-nucleotide ribosomal RNA is filed under the name uncultured eukaryote. RNAcentral describes it as "partial 18S ribosomal RNA". It matches the Rfam family "Eukaryotic small subunit ribosomal RNA", at positions 592 to 976 of the family's 1831-position model. The record is from RNAcentral.